RNAcentral lists this long non-coding RNA (648 nucleotides) under Oryctolagus cuniculus (rabbit). RNAcentral's name for it is "lncRNA (ENSOCUG00000035053.1)". The record is from RNAcentral. Lineage: Eukaryota; Metazoa; Chordata; Mammalia; Lagomorpha; Leporidae.
AUGCCGUCCCAUGCUGCAUACACUGGAAUACAAAGAGUAAUAGACAAGGGGAAAGGCAUUAUCGGCACAAUAGCCAGUAUCUGCAAAGGAAUGUGGGUUUACAACAAAAAUGAAGUUUUUAUAGAACUACAAUUGCUAAAUAUUUUGGAGAUAAAAGGCUCUUCUGUCAACCUUACUGUCCCCCAGGGACCUGAGCUGCUUCAGGAUCUUGGAUUUAAGCCAGCCACAAAACACAUUCAUGCCACUGAAUGCUCUCUUAUUUUCAUCCAGACACCGGCCUCUCAAAUUCCUGAGGUUCUCAAGGGCUUUUUCCAGUGAACUCUAUUGCAUUCAGGACUUUGGGAUGGCUCUGUAUGCAGAUGAAGCCAAUAAUGCACUACAAGUUCCAACUUAGAGAAAGUAUGGUUAAUCAAGGUUACUAAGAGCAGAAAGUAAUUCUAAUCAGUUGGUAAGUUAAAAAAGUUAAAGAUUUUAAGAAGCUAUUACUGAAACAGCUUUAUUGUUCUAUCUAUACGUGUUAUGUUAUACACGUAUACAGAUUGUAUGUCUAUAUGAAGAAAUUUUUAUUAAGAACUCUGUUUUACGGCUGAAAAGCCCAUGGAAAGCCAAGACACUCUGGGGGAAAAAAAAAAAAAAAAAAAAUCAUGU